GAUGAAGAACGUAGCGAAAUGCGAUAAGUAGUGUGAAUUGCAGAAUUCAGUGAAUCAUCGAAUCUUUGAACGCACAUUGCGCCCUUUGGUAUUCCUUAGGGCAUGUCUGUUCGAGCGUCAUUUAAACCUUCAAGCUCAGCUUGGUGAUGGGUGACUGUCCUCCCCUCGCGGGGGGACUCGCCUCAAAAACAUUGGCGGCCGGUACAUUGGCUUCGAGCGCAGCAGAAACGCGGUCUCGAGCCCGGUGGAUCGGCUCCCAUAAGUCUAUUCUUUUAUUUUGACCUCGGAUCAGGUAGGGAUACCCGCUGAACUUAAGCAUAUCAAUAAGCGGAGGA
RNAcentral lists this unclassified non-coding RNA (335 nucleotides) under soil metagenome. Its description in RNAcentral is "partial contains 5.8S ribosomal RNA, internal transcribed spacer 2, and large subunit ribosomal RNA". The stretch from base 1 to 120 matches the Rfam family "5.8S ribosomal RNA", at positions 35 to 154 of the family's 154-position model. The record is from RNAcentral.